This 253-nucleotide ribosomal RNA is filed under the name uncultured bacterium. RNAcentral's name for it is "partial 16S ribosomal RNA". It matches the Rfam family "Bacterial small subunit ribosomal RNA", at positions 524 to 776 of the family's 1533-position model. The record is from RNAcentral.
UACGUAGGGUGCAAGCGUUGUCCGGAAUUAUUGGGCGUAAAGAGCUCGUAGGCGGUUUGUCGCGUCGGCUGUGAAAACCCGAGGCUCAACCUCGGGCCUGCAGUCGAUACGGGCAAACUAGAGUGUGGUAGGGGAGUCUGGAAUUCCUGGUGUAGCGGUGAAAUGCGCAGAUAUCAGGAGGAACACCGGUGGCGAAGGCGGGACUCUGGGCCGAUACUGACGCUGAGGAGCGAAAGCGUGGGGAGCAAACAGG